Dermacentor albipictus is the source of this 489-nucleotide non-coding RNA. Lineage: Eukaryota; Metazoa; Arthropoda; Arachnida; Ixodida; Ixodidae. The record is from RefSeq and is a predicted model, not a curated record.
GUUAUUAGGUGACCCGUUCAAGGCCCAGGAAAUUGCUCUGUGAUCUUAGUAAAUUUCCCUGAACGAAAUCUGUGCUUCGUCAAAAUACAAUGUGUAAGUUUUAGUACACAACAAUACUGAUGCCCUAAAGUUGAACAAAAUAAUUUGAAAUAAGCUCUAUUAGAAAACGCUUAUAAACACGUUCCAAUGAGUAUUUUGAACAACGGAGCAUGUGAAUGUUUAUAUUACCUUUCUUACGUUUCAGGCAGCCAUGGGUGCUAAGCAUGCUGCAUUUCUUUUGGUGCUGAUGGCCCUUUCUGUCAAACUAAAUGAAGGUAAUUACAUGGGUAAACAAACGACUUGUUAUGGUAGACAAAAGCCUAAUUGCCUCAUGAAGUAGAAUGGCAAAUUGCUCCAUCAAUGCAGCCCACCAGAAACCCCGUGCCCUAUUCCGUGGAGGUUUUUUUGUACUGGAGGGAGUGAGCUUACUUGCCCAUAUCGAAAUACAAC